GUGUUCAUUUUGGCCACAUAUAUACUAAAAUUGUAACAAUGCAGAGAAGAUUAUCAAAGGCCCUGCACAAGGAUGACAAACAUUUCAUGAAGCAUUCUGUAUUCUU
Myodes glareolus (Bank vole) is the source of this 106-nucleotide small nuclear RNA. NCBI's taxonomy places the organism in Eukaryota, Metazoa, Chordata, Mammalia, Rodentia, Cricetidae. The record is from RefSeq and is a predicted model, not a curated record.